RNAcentral lists this ribosomal RNA (560 nucleotides) under uncultured bacterium. RNAcentral's name for it is "bacterial SSU rRNA". It matches the Rfam family "Bacterial small subunit ribosomal RNA", at positions 338 to 916 of the family's 1533-position model. The record is from RNAcentral.
CCUACGGGAGGCAGCAGUGGGGAAUAUUGGACAAUGGGCGCAAGCCUGAUCCAGCAAUGCCGCGUGAGUGAUGAAGGCCUUAGGGUCGUAAAGCUCUUUUACCAGGGAUGAUAAUGACAGUACCUGGAGAAUAAGCUCCGGCUAACUCCGUGCCAGCAGCCGCGGUAAUACGGAGGGAGCUAGCGUUGUUCGGAAUUACUGGGCGUAAAGCGUACGUAGGCGGUUAUUCAAGUCAGAGGUGAAAGCCCGGGGCUCAACCCCGGAACGGCCUUUGAAACUAGGUAGCUAGAAUCUUGGAGAGGUCAGUGGAAUUCCGAGUGUAGAGGUGAAAUUCGUAGAUAUUCGGAAGAACACCAGUGGCGAAGGCGACUGACUGGACAAGUAUUGACGCUGAGGUACGAAAGCGUGGGGAGCAAACAGGAUUAGAUACCCUGGUAGUCCACGCCGUAAACGAUGAUAACUAGCUGUCCGGGCACUUGGUGCCUGGGUGGCGCAGCUAACGCAUUAAGUUAUCCGCCUGGGGAGUACGGUCGCAGAUUAAAACUUAAAGGAAUUGACGG